Molecule: ribosomal RNA, 256 nt
Filed under: uncultured bacterium
Lineage: Bacteria
Description: partial 16S ribosomal RNA
Rfam family: Bacterial small subunit ribosomal RNA
Source: RNAcentral
GUACGGGGGGGGCAAGCGUUGUUCGGAAUUACUGGGCGUAAAGGGCUCGUAGGCGGCCAACUAAGUCAGACGUGAAAUCCCUCGGGCUUAACCGGGGACUGCGUCUGAUACUGGAUGGCUUGAGUGGUGGGAGAGGGAUGCGGAAUUCCAGGUGUAGCGGCGAAAUGCGUAGAUAUCUGGAGGAACACCGGUGGCGAAGGCGGCAUCCUGGACCAUUACUGACGCUGAGGAGCGAAAGCCAGGGGAGCAAACGGGG